GAGAAAUGAUGAUACUCCAACUUCGGUCCGUGUUUCUGAUCAACCCUGAUAAGAAUGAAGUUCUGAUCUU
This is a non-coding RNA of Strongylocentrotus purpuratus (purple sea urchin), 70 nucleotides long. The record is from Rfam. NCBI's taxonomy places the organism in Eukaryota, Metazoa, Echinodermata, Echinoidea, Camarodonta, Strongylocentrotidae.